AGCAGCCGCCACGGGAAUACGUAGGGUGCAAGCGUUAAUCGGAAUUACUGGGCGUAAAGCGUGCGCAGGCGGUUAUAUAAGACAGAUGUGAAAUCCCCGGGCUCAACCUGGGAACUGCAUUUGUGACUGUAUAGCUAGAGUACGGCAGAGGGGGAUGGAAUUCCGCGUGUAGCAGUGAAAUGCGUAGAUAUGCGGAGGAACACCGAUGGCGAAGGCAAUCCCCUGGGCCUGUACUGACGCUCAUGCACGAAAGCGUGGGGAGCAAACAGGAUUAGAUACCCCCGUAGUCCCUGUCUCUUAUAC
RNAcentral lists this ribosomal RNA (303 nucleotides) under uncultured bacterium. RNAcentral describes it as "partial 16S ribosomal RNA". It matches the Rfam family "Bacterial small subunit ribosomal RNA", at positions 507 to 807 of the family's 1533-position model. The record is from RNAcentral.